GCGGCCCCCCCGCCUACCCACAAUGCAUUGCGGCGGCCCCAUACCCAUAAUGCAUUGCGGCGGCCCGCCUACCCACAAUGCAUUGCGGCCGACCCUACCCAUAAUGCAUUGCGGCGGGCCCUUACCCAUAAUGCAUUGCGGUCCCCGCCUACCCACAAUGCAUUGCGGCCGACCCUACCCAUAAUGCCUUGCGGCGGCCCCGCCUACCCAUAACACAUUGUGGCUUCAAUCCACGGCACGGUUGGAACUAUCGCCACACCCCCAUUCGUGCGGGCUUUCCCCCGGCAGCUCAGCAUAGCCAGACUGCAGACUCCUACUGAGGAAGGCGCUGCUGUGCAGGAAUCAGCAUGGGAUGUGCUAUGAGGCAACAAUGUCAGCUUUUCAUCUGAGAGCAAACUGUCCCUUGGAGAGCUGUUGCCAGG
Long non-coding RNA from Catharus ustulatus (Swainson's thrush), 422 nucleotides. RefSeq lists it as uncharacterized. NCBI's taxonomy places the organism in Eukaryota, Metazoa, Chordata, Aves, Passeriformes, Turdidae. The record is from RefSeq and is a predicted model, not a curated record. The transcript has 2 exons.